CCUGCUCACGAUCACCUUUGAAGUGGACACUAUUAAUAUUCUUGUUUUACAGAGGAGGAAACUGAAGACUCAAGAGGUGAAAGAAGUCACUUGCCCCAUGGCCACCCAGCCGAUGUCACAGAUGGGGCUUAGAUCUGGGGUUGUCAAGUCCUGCAGCCUUGCACCACCUCAACUAAAGGGUUGGCAUGUGCUGGGUGAAAUGCCAGUUCGGAGUCUGUGACCGUCCUCUCCCGUUUGACAUGACUCGGGAUGACACUGCAGACGGAAUGAAAAGCCCCACCUGGCUGGCUUUCACAUCAUGCUCUUCCCUGGUAGCUUCCCAGCCCUGGAGAGCCACAAACAGCGAAACUGUGAGAGAAAGAGGUUGGCAUGGCUAUUCCACCACUCUUUCUGUCCUACGUGAUUCACUUCUCUCUUGCCCUUCCUAAGCCAGAGCCAGGCCUGUAACUGGAAAGUGGCAUCUCCUUAGUUUUUGACACUGGGAUAACUAUUCUGGCAAGUUUAUUUCUCUCUUCCCCAUCUUUGUCAAUCGGACAGCAUCAUGAGGAUCCUCAGCCACGCUUGAUGGACAGGAAGCUGGUGGCUCAGCUGUGAGGCUUAUAGGCCUGCCCAGGUAGACGGGGUGGGAACAGGUGCCGAACCAAGGCUUCCUUCCCUGAGAUCCCUUCCAGAAGAAGUAGCUUUUCUGUGACUUCUACAUGACAAUUCCUUGUUCCUAUUCUCCUCUGGAGUUUGAAAACCAGGGCCAGAUAUGUUCCAUAGGAUGCCAAAGUGAUCCCUCCCUCCCUACCUCCCUACCUCCAGCUCCUUCCUUCCUUCUUCUCUUCCUUCCUUCCUUCCCCCCUUCCUUCCUUGCACUGAAUUAGUUGCAUUUGAAAAUGGAGAGAAUUCAUGUUACAAUCCAGAUACACAGCUUCUCUGGAAAAGUUAAAUCUGUCAACAAUGGCUGUGGUGCUCAUAGUAAGACAUGGCUGGAUAGAGCAGGUGCUUUUCCAUUGACAGUCAACCCCAGCCCACAUCCAUCCUCAUUUCCUCCUGCCUGCCGCUCUAAGGUGUUGGAGUCUGUAACCUCAGAUUCUUGGCCAGAACCCACCUAUAACCCACCUAUCUGGGGCAAGCACUCUGCCAAAUCUUCAAGGCAAAUGAAGAAACAGAGAUGGAGAGAAUGAUCUGGAUAACUAAAGGGGGAAGUUUUAGUUCUUGCCAGAAUUUGGUGGACAAUAUGCAAUGAUGUCCACAUUCAAGUUCAAGCUCAUCACAUUCCCACCAAGUCCUCCACAGCUUGAAUUUACAUGAAACAACUUAAGAGUUUAUGGGUGUAGUUCCAAUCCAGCUAGACUAUGUCAAGUUCAGCUCACCUGUUUGGUUAUGUUAAGGGUCUUUUAAAAAUAUCAGUGGAAACUAAAUGCUCAUCAAUAAAGGACUGGCUAAAUGAGAUAUUGCAUAGAGGGAACUCUAAUUCGCAGUUAAGAUGAAUGAACUGCAGCUCUGUUGAUAUAAAUUUAAACACACACACAAAAUGAUGUUCUAUAAUGGGAGCUGGCAAAGUACCAUCCGGUGCUCGUUUUUGUAAAUAAAGUUUUAUUGGCACACAUCCAUACCCAUUUGUUUACAUAUCGUAUGUGGCUGCUUUCACACACAGUGGCAGAGCUGAGUAGCUGCAACAGAGACCAUAUGGUCCGCAAAGCUGAAAAUGUUUCUCAGUGGGCCAUUUACAGAAAAAUAUUUGCUCUCCACUACCCUGUGUUAUUUGGACUACAUACGUACAUAUGUAUGUAUAUAUACACAUUAUAUAUACAUAUGUAUGUGUGUGUAUACACACACAGAGAGAUAUUUAAGUUCAUGGCAGAGGUUGAUUUUGAGUGGUGGUCCAAAGUUAGAUCAUAAAUAGCAUCAACUUUUCUUGAUCUGAAAAUUCUAUUUCUCUAGUUUAAAAUAAUACUUGGAACAAUAUGAAGAAAUGUUAACAGCUGUCAAAUUUCAGUUAAGGAUUCACAGGUGUUUGUUUUAUUAUCUUUUAACUUUUCUGUGUUUAAAAUGUUUUAAAUAAAAAAUUAUUUCAUAGAACAAAAAAGUUUUAGGACUG
RNAcentral lists this long non-coding RNA (2086 nucleotides) under Homo sapiens (human). RNAcentral's name for it is "HSALNT0269891". The record is from RNAcentral. Lineage: Eukaryota; Metazoa; Chordata; Mammalia; Primates; Hominidae.